GAAAAAUUAAAAAGCAAUGUUUGUAAAAUAAGCUGAUGGCUUGGGAAGCAGUCGAAAUCAACAACUUUAAUGAAUAGAAUUUAUUCAAGAAGCGGAAGAUUGACUCAUAGAAGUGCAGUUCGAAAAACAACGCAACUCUAUCGUCAAGG
This is a long non-coding RNA of Drosophila nasuta, 149 nucleotides long. RefSeq lists it as uncharacterized. The transcript has 3 exons. The record is from RefSeq and is a predicted model, not a curated record. Lineage: Eukaryota; Metazoa; Arthropoda; Insecta; Diptera; Drosophilidae.